UAGGAAUAUUGGACAAUGGGCGAAAGCCUGAUCCAGCCAUGCCGCGUGAGUGAAGAAGGCCUUAGGGUUGUAAAGCUCUUUCGGCUGUGAAGAUAAUGACAGUAGCAGAAGAAGAAGCCCCGGCUAAAUUCGUGCCAGCAGCCGCGGUAAUACGAAUGGGGCGAGCGUUGUUCGGAAUCACUGGGCGUAAAGCGUACGCAGGCGGUCAUGAAAGUCAGGAGUGAAAUCCCAGGGCUUAACCCUGGAAUGGCUCUUGAAACUCCAUGACUAGAAUACUGGAGAGGUUGGCGGAAUUCCGAGUGUAGAGGUGAAAUUCGCAGAUAUUCGGAGGAACACCAAUGGCGUAGGCAGCCAACUGGACAGUUAUUGACGCUCAUGUACGAAAGCGUGGGGAUCAAAC
This 400-nucleotide ribosomal RNA is filed under the name uncultured bacterium. Its description in RNAcentral is "bacterial SSU rRNA". It matches the Rfam family "Bacterial small subunit ribosomal RNA", at positions 356 to 773 of the family's 1533-position model. The record is from RNAcentral.